UAGGCUACUAUACUGAAGGUAAGUUCUAAACAUUGUUAAAUAGAAUGGAAAACUUAUAACUUGCAAAUUUUCUUCAGAUGGUGCAUUUUACUGUUUUCUUCAGAGCUAUUUUCCUAAUGCUUUGAGUUUUGGUUGGCUGUCUUGCUUUGUUUGCGGUGCUUGUAUACAUUAUAUUAGAAUAACAUUUCAGUAUAAUGUAUACAAGCUUGAGGCCCGCCUAUCUAUUUAUGCAGAUAUCAAUCUUAUUACAUGCUUGAGCAAACAUUAUACAAGUAUAGCAAGAAAGCCUACCAAACUUGUUAACUACAUACAUUAAAAAAAAUAGCUCUAAUAUGCAGAAUUGUGAACUUAUAUAUCAUUUGUAUGAAGUUGUGGUGUUUUCAAAUUUCAAUGCUUACUACCGGUAAGGAGAAUAAGUUUAUUUUAAUAUUACACACUAACGUAUUUAAACUAAUAUUUGAAUAUGAUUAAAUCCGAAGAAAAAACUUUUAAUUACGUAUACUGAUUUAUCUUUAAAAAACAAACCUGAUAUAUAUUGCUAAUCUAUAAUAACAAGAUGUUGUUUUCUAUACAUAUUGUUUUUCUUGAAGAGACCAUAAGUAGUAAUCUUCCAACAUGAAGACACCAGUUUUACUAUGUGUUGUUAUAUUAGUACUUGCUGGUAGUGGUAAGUAUCGCUAUAAUUCUAUUAUAAUAGUUAAUUGAUAUACGAUCGCAAAGUGUCCGCCUUUUUUUACUCCACGUUCAAUUGUCAGAAAUCCCCUAUUUUUUUUUACAUCUGCUUAUUGCGAACCAAAUGAAACUUUUCCAUAGAACCAUCUCCACUAUCUUUUGGCAGUUCUAUGGUAACAUUGAAUAAAUUUAAUAACUGUUGUUCUCUGCGUAAUCGUCUUUUCAUUGUGACCAUUAAUUCUCUUGUAAGAGAAAUCCAUCACUCAUUGAUUAAUUUACCUUUCGAAUAUGUUAAUCGCUGGCGUCAUUUUAGCAAUUCACCUAGUAGACCAACUGAAAUUUACCUUUAAGUCUUUCUUUCACUCACAAAAAAGUUGAGCAGAGAUAUUUUUUGGGCAAUCUAAAUAAAAUUUAGACCUCUGAUUUCGUUAUACUACUCAUAUGCAGUAUAUAUAUAGAGAGAGAGAUCUAUAUUUUGAUUAGAUUGUUUUUGGGGAAAUCGCUACCUGAAAAGAACUCUCAUAAUUUCCGAAACUGAAAAUGUACUAGGAAAUGCACCGUCCAUAAUUUGAGUUUUUUUACUUAUAACUUCAUUUACUUGUGGUAUAGUUAAAAAUCUUUUGGAGAUAUCAACACUCGUUCGUUUUCUAGAUUUAAUCCUUUUACAGUGAUGCAUACAUCACAAUUUCCACGCUGUAUAGAUAUGUGUAUGAACUCCAUGUGUAAAAUCCUAUUGAUCCAAUUCUUACGAACAUAUUUCCAAGAACUUAGGCUGCCAAUUUUUGUAAAAUAAUUGUUUCUGUUUCAGUCAAGGAAUCGGAUGCUUUUACCUGUAAUUAUUCGCAGACAUUAAGGUGUAAAAGCUAUUGUUCCUCAAUAGGACACUGUAGUAAACGACUAUGCCUCAAUACAGGUGCUGUGGCUAUGUGUGUUUGCAGAAUGUGUUCAAGCAAAUAUAGACUCCCGUUCUGGUAAGUUUUAUUACUUAACUUUCCUUCAUAAUUUAUAUGUACCAAAUCUUAUUUUAAAAAGUAAAAUAACAAAUAGUAUUUCUAAUUCAAAUGAGUCUACAAAUUAAAAUGAAAUAAACCAAAUUGUGGUUUUAUAUACGCUCUAAAUUUUUCUUGGAGAGUUUUUCAGAAAGGCGGAUGUAAACUGAAAUAUAUUAAAUUGAUACUUAAUAUGAUAAAGAUUGCGGUAUAGACAACGAUUUGCAUGCACAUAGAAGGACGUACAGAACAAUUGAUAGACAUUCUUUUCUUUUAUAAAAGAGUAAAAAAUGUAAAAUAUGCAUAAAUGAUAAAUCAACGAUCAUCAAAAUCAGGUGCUUGUAAAACACAUAUCGAAAAAAUAUUGAAGCAAAUUCAGAUAAUCAGCUUAAUACUGCACAAUUCAAGAAACCCAUAAACCAAAAUUGCAUGCAGAUUCUUGCGUGUGUAGUAUAAACAUUUAAACAGCUUAGCAAAACUGUUCAGAUACAAAAUACCGUACGUUUUAUUUCUUUUCAUUUUAGGAGAAAUUCCAUGGAGGAGUAAACACGAAGCCAUAGAGGAAUGUUAUUCAUAACAUGAAGUAUUUUCCGUUGAUUCUUUUCUGAAUAAACAUAUGAAUGUUAUGAAAUAAUGUGUAAUUAAUAAAAGUUUUUAAAAUACUUCCAUUCUUAGUGUUAGAAACUAG
RNAcentral lists this long non-coding RNA (2349 nucleotides) under Mytilus galloprovincialis (Mediterranean mussel). The record is from RNAcentral. Lineage: Eukaryota; Metazoa; Mollusca; Bivalvia; Mytilida; Mytilidae.